CCUACGGGUGGCAGCAGUGGGGAAUAUUGCACAAUGGGCGAAAGCCUGAUGCAGCAACGCCGCGUGAGCGAUGAAGGCCUUCGGGUCGUAAAGCUCUGUCCUCAGGGAAGAUAAUGACGGUACUUGAGGAGUAAGCCCCGGCUAACUCCGUGCCAGCAGCCGCGGUAAUACGUAGGGGGCUAGCGUUAUCCGGAAUUACUGGGCGUAAGGGGUGCGUAGGUGGUUUCCAAAGUCAGAGGUGAAAGGCUACGGCUAAACCGUAGUAAGCCUUUGAAACUGGUGCACUUGAGUGCAGGAGAGGAGGGUGGAAUUCCUGGUGUAGCGGUGAAAUGCGUAGAGAUCAGGAGGAACACCAGUUGCGAAGGCGGCUCUCUGGACUGUAACUGACGCUGAGGCACGAAAGCGUGGGGAGCAAACAGGAUUAGAUACCCGUGUAGUC
This 439-nucleotide ribosomal RNA is filed under the name uncultured bacterium. RNAcentral's name for it is "partial 16S ribosomal RNA". It matches the Rfam family "Bacterial small subunit ribosomal RNA", at positions 338 to 795 of the family's 1533-position model. The record is from RNAcentral.